GAUGAACGCUGACAGAAUGCUUAACACAUGCAAGUCUUGGGCGAAUAUGUGCUUGCACCGGCUAGCCAGGGCGGACGGGAGGGUAACGCGUAAAGAACAUGCCCUGCAGACAGGGAUAACAGACGGACACGACUGAGAAGACCUGAUACAGUUGCCUGCACGCACGUGCCGGGCAAUGGAAAGAGAUGCUGUUGGAGAGCUUUGCGGACUGUUAGCUGGUUGGUUAGGUGAUGGCUCACCAAGGCGAUGAUAGGUAGCCGGCCUGAGAGGGUGAACGGCCACGAGGGGACUGAGAGACGGCACUUACGAAUACGGGAGGCAGCAGGGGGGAAUAUUGGAGAAAGGGGGCAAGCCUGAUCCAGGAAUUCUGUGUGCAAGAAGAAGGUUCUCGGAUUGAAAAGUGGUGUCAGCAGGGAAGAAGGAAGUGACGGUACCUGCAGAAGAAGCGACGGCUAAAUACGUG
This 463-nucleotide ribosomal RNA is filed under the name uncultured bacterium. RNAcentral describes it as "partial 16S ribosomal RNA". It matches the Rfam family "Bacterial small subunit ribosomal RNA", at positions 28 to 507 of the family's 1533-position model. The record is from RNAcentral.